This 205-nucleotide unclassified non-coding RNA is filed under the name Hevea brasiliensis (rubber tree). Lineage: Eukaryota; Viridiplantae; Streptophyta; Magnoliopsida; Malpighiales; Euphorbiaceae. The record is from RNAcentral.
GGAAAAUAAAGCACAUACUGCAACAAAUGAUAAGGGACUUCCAUUUAAAGUGAUAGAAAAUUCACUCAGAAAAUUGAAGGCAUGAUUUGAAAAUCAUGUCUGUUGGUGCAAUUAACUUUGUCGUUAACAAGGAAUUGACUAUUGAGUCCUGUAAAUACGUAUUCAUUAGUGCUAUUCUGUAAAACAUCAUGUUAUUGAAAUUUCU